AUUGAACGCUGGCGGCAUGCCUUACACAUGCAAGUCGAACGGCAGCACGGGAGCAAUCCUGGUGGCGAGUGGCGAACGGGUGAGUAAUAUAUCGGAACGUGCCCAGUCGUGGGGGAUAACGCAGCGAAAGCUGUGCUAAUACCGCAUACGAUCUAAGGAUGAAAGCGGGGGAUCGCAAGACCUCGCGCGAUUGGAGCGGCCGAUAUCAGAUUAGCUAGUUGGUGGGGUAAAGGCCCACCAAGGCGACGAUCUGUAGCUGGUCUGAGAGGACGACCAGCAACACUGGAACUGAGACACGGUCCAGACCCCUACGGGAGGCAGCAGUGGGGAAUUUUGGACAAUGGGCGCAAGCCUGAUCCAGCAAUGCCGCGUGCAGGAUGAAGGCCUUCGGGUUGUAAACUGCUUUUGUACGGAACGAAACGGCCCUUUCUAAUACAGGGGGCUAAUGACGGUACCGUAAGAAUAAGCACCGGCUAACUACGUGCCAGCCGCCGCCGUAA
Molecule: ribosomal RNA, 500 nt
Filed under: uncultured bacterium
Lineage: Bacteria
Description: partial 16S ribosomal RNA
Rfam family: Bacterial small subunit ribosomal RNA
Source: RNAcentral